Molecule: ribosomal RNA, 253 nt
Filed under: uncultured bacterium
Lineage: Bacteria
Description: partial 16S ribosomal RNA
Rfam family: Bacterial small subunit ribosomal RNA
Source: RNAcentral
UACAGAGGUCUCAAGCGUUGUUCGGAUUCAUUGGGCGUAAAGGGUGUGUAGGUGGCGCCGUAAGUCGGGGGUGAAAUUUCGGAGCUUAACUCCGAAACUGCAUUCGAUACUGCGGUGCUUGAGGACUGGAGAGGAGACUGGAAUUCAUGGUGUAGCAGUGAAAUGCGUAGAGAUCAUGAGGAAGACCAGUGGCGAAGGCGGGUCUCUGGACAGUUCCUGACACUGAGGCACGAAGGCUAGGGGAGCGAACGGG